ACUCUGGGCGUGGCGGGCAGGGGUGCUUCCGCCGUGGGCUUAGGUCAGGGCGAGGCCAGAGCCCUGGAAAGCAAAAGGGAAAGGCAGGCCUGAUGUGGAGAAACCGAGGCAAAUCACGAUGCCUCCAGGCGGCUGUCGGGACGCCGGCCCGGGGCUCCCGAGGCGGGACCUCCGCCUGCCGCCACCACUCACCACGCUGAUGACACCCUAUUAGCAGUCAUGGGGUUGCCAGGGCCUCGCAAUGACUUGGUCCAGGUCACGUACAAGGGCCGGAAUCCUCACCCCAGCUGUAGCCUUGAUGUCGGAAGUUCAGUGGGGCACUGGCGGGACCUGAACUUCCCAGCUCCCUGUGCUUGAGUGAGGCGAUGUAACUAGUUCUACCCAAUGACCUGGAAGCGGAAGGGACACGUAGUCAUUUGGGGGCAGGAGACUGUCAGUGUGAGACCCUUCUCAAUGGCACGGCCACUGGGAGUGUUUGGGAGGGUGGCCGCGCCGUCAGCCCCGGCACCUGCAGUGAGCACAGCGCCUCUCACCCCCGCCCCCGACGGCCUGAGAUGUCCACUGACCAUGGCGAGACAUAAACGUUUGUGGUUUGAAGGCACUAAGAUUCAGGAGUUGUUUGUUCGGCUGCAAAGCUUCGCGUCCUCUGACUGACGCCAGGCCCUAACGUGUACCAAGCUGUGGAUGCAGUGGUGGACAACUCAGACGAGAGAACCAGUAGAUGGACAAGCAACCUGAGAACUCCCGAUGACCUCAGACUGGGUGGUCAGAAAAAGGUCUCUCUUCAUAUACACACUACCAUGUGCAAAACAGAGAGCUAGCGGGAACCUGCGGUACAGCACAGGGCGCUCAGCUCGGUGCUCCGUGACCUCCUAGAUGGGUGGGCUGGGCGGGCGGUGGGAGGGAGGGGAUAGGUGUAUACACAUAGCUGAUUCACUUCGUUGUACAGCAGAAACUAACACAACGUUGUAAAGCAACUGUGCCCCCAUUUAAAAUUUAAAAAAAAAAGUCUUUCUCAGGAGGCGACAUUUAAGCUGGGACCUGAAGGACGCAAAGGAAUCAGUGUCAGGAAAGGUUGGGAGUGAGGGGAAGGAGAGGACCUUCCGAGCGGAGGAACAAGCCGCAGAGACAGCGGCCAGGAGGCGUGGACGGAGCACCGUGGGCGGGGCGGGCGGGUGAGACCCCAGAGGGUGCAGAGGGAGGUGGGAUCUGGAUCAUGCGGGGGCUCCUAGGUUAGGGUGAGGAGAUUGGAAUGUGUUCCAAGUGUGACAGGAAGCCACUUAGGAGGUUCAAGUCUGCAGGCGGACAGGCUUUGAUUUAGGUUUUAGAAAGACCACUCUCGCUAUCGUGUAGAGGUCGAGCUGUGAGGGGCAGGUGUGGGCGUGGGGCUUAGAAGGCUGUUCAGGGGUCCAAGCAAAGUGGGGUCCGCAGGGCCAGAGGCUGGAAGGGAGACCUGCCCUCAGGAGGUUCGGGGAGAUUUGCAGAAGGAGGGGAGCAAAAGCACUGAACAGAAGGUCCUCCUGCCAAAUCCCAGAGGAAGCAGAGGCAAGGCUGGACGUCGGGACCCCAGAGGUGCACUGACUCCAGGGAGACGGGCACUCAAGAGCCAGGUGGAGCGGGGCUUGUGGAGUCACGGGGUGUGGAGCAGACAGCUGGCCAGUUUCCUAGAACAUCAGCCAGAACAGCCCUGGAUGGUAUUAUUGGAAAGAGUCUGACAAGCUCUGACAUCCCUGUGGGCAUUUGAUACUUGGUGACCGCCUCGAUUAGAGGGGGGCCACCGAUCUAUAGACGGAAAAAAGCCAUUCCUACCUACUGACGGCGGGAAGAAUCUACUGUAAACAGCAAGACUAGAUGGGGUGCAUCUCCAGUGAUCCAGUCACCUUGCUACUCUGUGUUUCCCCAGCCCUCAGUGCCCUGCACUUCCUGUUCUCAGGAACGGGUCUCACAGGCUCAUUCACACACAGGAAUAAAUGACUAAAGACAGCUCAGUGCAGGACUUCCCUGGCGGUCCAGUGGUUAAGACUGCGCUUCCAAUGCAGGAGACACGGGUUCAAUCCCCGGUAGGGGAGCUAAGAUCCCGCAUGGCGCGGCCAAAAAGAAAAAAAAAAAAGACGGCUCUGUGGGUUCCCAUUCCUUCCUGGGCCUUUGCAUCGUCCAAAACUAAAACCUGAAGUCUUAGGUCAGGGCAAGUAUUUAGGGGAGGACCAGAGAACUUUAGUUCACACAAGUAGCAUGGAGUGACUUAUCCGUCCCCGGGAAGAGGUCCCGACUCCUGCGUUCUCACUUGGAAUCCUCCUCCAAAGUCUGGGGAACAGCCCCAAGCCUCCCCUUCCUUGCAGCCUUUCGCUGGCAGCUACCAACAAAAGCCCCUGGUGCUCACUUAUUCCUAAACGUGUUCAAAAUCUUGCCUUUGGUGUUCAGUUUAGUUACUGUCACUGAAAAAGACUGUUUUAUCAAGAGCUUCUCUCUCACCGUUACCACCUUCCUUGUGGUCUCUACGGACCUAGGCAGGCAGCAGGAACUAACCAGACGACAUCCCAGCAGUUGCCCUGCAGAAGCCCCGUAAUUAGGUGGAGGAGCUUUCCCUUCCAAAAGAGGCGACUCCACUUGGGACGCACGUUAGAAAACAAUGAUUCCUUGCUAGCUGAGCUCUUGAAUCAGCUGCACUUAUCCUUCUGCCAUCACAGCUUACCAAGAGUUGUCCCCCAGAAAUGAGGGCAAGUCUGUCUUGCCAUUAAGUAAUAAGUCUUCAUCGUUGUGGCUCAACCCACCGCGUGCCAGCUCAUCCUCUCCCCCUCCCACUCUGGGGACACACACGCUCUGUGGUUCCACAGUAACCACCACCAAGAUCCAGUGCUGACCUCCAGGUAACCAGAGCAAAAGUCCUGCAGGGUGACAGCGGCAAAGCCCUCGAGGGUGAGCGAAAAUGAGCCCCGAGUGUCUGGAUUCUGUGCUGAGCUCUCUGCAACACGAAACACUAGCCAUGGUCUCCCAGGAAGCCGGCCCCCUCUAACAGCAUGAGCCCAGCCGUGCUCCUGAGCUGCAGAUGCAUGAGCCCCACGGAGCCUAGCUCUGGGCGGCUAGGUGGACACGCGGACAGACAGAGAGGACGCGGGGACACACAAACUUGAGCUAGGAGGAGGGAUGAGGAAAGAAGUGAUGCUGGCUGUGUAGGGGAGCGAACCUUGCCACCCCAAAAUGUGUCUCUUCAGCUUGCACAUUAUUUUGAGCUAAAUACAAUCAAGGCCCAAAAGACUUCGACCCUCCCCCUAACUAACCGCCUAGAGAAUUUAGAUGGAGGGCCUGUUCCGGGAAGAACUAUCGCUGCAGAAAACCGUAAUAUAAUAACAUGAGUGAGGGGUGGUCGACGGGGGAAACCAGCAAGGCCCGUGCGAUCACAGAGCACCUCCGUGUCCCAAUGCCCCUGCACAGCCCGGCAAACAUCUGUUAUCCAACAUUUGCUCAUUUGCUUCUUUCAUCUGCCUGUAAAUUGCCUUCGUCCCCUUUGAAGGCCAACCCCACCCGCUCUCCUCCUGGAUGGCGCGUAAGGCUCACCUGCGUGACUUGUGCUGGGCCCGUGUUCUUAGGGGGCCCCUGUAUGUACCUAAUUACAGUCGACUUCCCCUGUGAA
Aethalodelphis obliquidens (Pacific white-sided dolphin) is the source of this 3631-nucleotide long non-coding RNA. RefSeq lists it as uncharacterized. The record is from RefSeq and is a predicted model, not a curated record. NCBI's taxonomy places the organism in Eukaryota, Metazoa, Chordata, Mammalia, Artiodactyla, Delphinidae. The transcript has 2 exons.